Molecule: small nucleolar RNA, 83 nt
Filed under: Urocitellus parryii (Arctic ground squirrel)
Lineage: Eukaryota; Metazoa; Chordata; Mammalia; Rodentia; Sciuridae
Description: Small nucleolar RNA SNORA67 (ENSUPAG00010000853.1)
Source: RNAcentral
GUUUGGAAGAAGACCUGGAAUGCCUAAGGUCUUUGGGAGAUACAGGAUACUUGAUUUGUUUUGCCUUCCUUUGGCUGGCAUAU